UACGGAGGAUCCAAGCGUUAUCCGGAUUUAUUGGGUUUAAAGGGUGCGUAGGCGGCUCUAUAAGUCAGUAGUGAAAUCUCGAAGCUCAACUUCGAACGUGCUAUUGAAACUGUAGAGCUUGAGUACAGACGAGGCAGGCGGAAUGUGUUGUGUAGCGGUGAAAUGCUUAGAUAUAACACAGAACACCGAUAGCGAAGGCA
RNAcentral lists this ribosomal RNA (200 nucleotides) under uncultured bacterium. Its description in RNAcentral is "partial 16S ribosomal RNA". It matches the Rfam family "Bacterial small subunit ribosomal RNA", at positions 524 to 723 of the family's 1533-position model. The record is from RNAcentral.